This 448-nucleotide ribosomal RNA is filed under the name uncultured bacterium. RNAcentral describes it as "bacterial SSU rRNA". It matches the Rfam family "Bacterial small subunit ribosomal RNA", at positions 329 to 793 of the family's 1533-position model. The record is from RNAcentral.
CGCCAGACUCCUACGGGAGGCAGCAGUGGGGAAUAUUGCACAAUGGGGGAAACCCUGAUGCAGCGACGCCGCGUGAGCGAUGAAGUAUUUCGGUAUGUAAAGCUCUAUCAGCAGGGAAGAAGAUGACGGUACCUGACUAAGAAGCCCCGGCUAACUACGUGCCAGCAGCCGCGGUAAUACGUAGGGGGCAAGCGUUAUCCGGAUUUACUGGGUGUAAAGGGAGCGUAGACGGCGGCGCAAGCCAGAUGUGAAAGCCCGGGGCUCAACUCCGGGACUGCAUUUGGAACUGUGUGGCUGGAGUGUCGGAGAGGCAGGCGGAAUUCCUAGUGUAGCGGUGAAAUGCGUAGAUAUUAGGAGGAACACCAGUGGCGAAGGCGGCCUGCUGGACGAUGACUGACGUUGAGGCUCGAAAGCGUGGGGAGCAAACAGGAUUAGAUACCCGCGUAAG